CUUCUUCUGGUGCUUUCUGUAGUUCUGUUGGAUAGACUUCACAGUUAUCCUCUGCCCUUCAGAUUUUAGAGGCACAUGGGCUGGAAAUGAAGAAUGGAAAUGAUCAUGCCAACCCUCAGAUUUUGUCCCAUUGGGGUGGGGAUCUUAACCAAACAAAACCAGCCAAAAAGUUUCAGAACAGAGAGUGAGGAUCUUUUCAGAAGCACGGCUGAAGAGGUCAUGUAUGAGGAAUCAAAGUGGGAACUGAAACCAGAGUGUGUAACUGACCCUCAGGAGAGAUUUAGCACUGUGCUGCCUGCCCUCUGCCUGGGCGCUAAACUGGGAGAAUAAGACGCCCAACCAUGAGAAAUGACUGUUUAUGUUUGAAGUCAGCAUGCUCUGGACUGAGUGGGCACUCUUUCUCCUGACUUUACCCAACUUCUUCUUCAGAUGUACUUGGUUCAAAUGUGACAAAUGCUAUCCUCAUGAAAAAUAGAGGAGAAAUCAUUAGAUGAAAAAUUUACUGAAAAAGGAAACAACAGCUGGAGUAAGUGAGAGAAAAAAUUGACUAAGAAAGGUAAUAUGAUGUGAUUAGAAGAAAAGGAAAUAGAUAUUGGUCUAAGUCUAUAUGAAGUGUUGAACCUUUGGAGAAGUUUACAGCUUACUGAUAUGAAGUAGAAAUUGAUUUCUUUUCAUCAUUUUUAGUAUCAUUUGUUACUUUAAAUUUUUGACGUCAUUGAAGCUGAAGUAUAGACCUUGCUUCUCUUUGUCAAGGGGAUAUGAUUAAAAAGCUAUUUCAAUACGCAGAAUUUAAAUCCCAAUUAGUAGUGGACACCUAACUUGCAUAUGUUAAAUGUACACUUUUAAAGUGAAAGAUUCUAAAUUUUAUGUUAUUUCCGUAUAUCUGCCAGGACUUCACGUUCCAUGUGCUUUCCUCUUUAAAAAAAAGUCCAGUGAGCUGCAAAGGGAACUACAAUCAGGCUUGCAUAUAUUACUGCUCUAUAGAAUCAAAACCCCUGAGAGCUUGUUUUGUGUUUUAUCUUCCCCAAAGACUUGUUAGCAGAGAACUGGUGAAAUGUUGAUAUCACAGGAGAAUGACAUCGGAACAAUUACAUGAAGGAAUUUUAGUUGCAUUGUUUACAGCUUUUGGGCAGAGGGAGAGGAUGUCACCAGAAUACUGGAGGGAGUAAGAAAAUUUGUAAGGGAAAUCAAAGAUCAGGGAGCAAGAACAUAAGGAUUUUUAAUCUCAACUUUUUGCCUUUGGUACACAAAGUAGAAAAACAGAACAAGAUGGUUCAUACCGGUUUAAAAGCAGAUUAAUGUUAAAGAACGCAGGUUUCUGUUCUUGUUUUAUGUAUUGACAUCCUUCUAAGUGCUCUGACCAGAGUCAUCCUGUGUCUUAAAAUCAUGUUUUAGCAGAGAAAUAUAAAUAUCCCCAAGCAUCUAAUCUUCCAAAGCAAUAUGAGCGAUAUAGCCAUAGCGUUUCAGUAUUUUAAAACUUGCUUCAACCUGAGAUGAUUCAAGUUGCUGACUUUCGAGAGGACAUAGACAAGAGCCUCUCGCUUAACUCCCUUUAAUUCUAAGGUCCGGUUGCUUGGCUUUAUUCAAUGUUAAGCCCCCAAAGCAAAGAGACUUUACUACACGGACUAAAAAAAGCCCCUCUCUUCCUUCUCCAACAAGCUGACCUGAAUUCUGAAUAGCUGUACUUUAUGCCCCUGGAAUUAAACAAAAAUAACUGCAAUUAAUAUCUCUUCUGCCAUAUGCCGUCUUUCAGUAGAAUAAUUUAUUAUUACCUUGUUUAAAAAUAGGUUUUUCAAUUAAUGGUCUUUUAGCAAAUAAAAACACUUUAUGGCUGGUGUGAGGUGCAUAAGCAAAUGUAAGAAGACCAGUUGCAUUCAACUUCAAGACUUAGUAACUCAGAUAAUUAUGCAGAACUAAUUAAUUCAAAAUCUGUUUAUCAACAAUAGAGUGUAGCUCCAGCAUUUCAUCCCAGAGGCAUUAACAAAGGCUUAUCACCUGCUUUUGUGUUGCAUUUUUGUCUCAAAGGCAAAUCAAUUGACAAAGGAUGUAAAAAAUGCCAUUCCCAUAACUAACACUUUAUAGAACUUGCAGGAACUUUUAAUAGCUGCUACCAAUUAAUUUCCCUGGCUUAAAUUAAAAUAAUUUCUAAAUGGAAAUGAGAUGUGCUAAAAACAUCAACACAUUCACUACUAAUAUAUGUGCUAUGUGAAAAGGAAAUUUGAAAUACAAAGAAAUAUUUAAAGAAUUUAAAUAAUUGCUUAAGCAUUAGGCUGUUAUUCCUGUCAAAAUAUUCACUGUGCAGAACUUGUGCAGCACUAUACAUGCUUUAAACCUUUCUGUUGAAGAACUAUGUUGAUGCUAUUAUUUUUAUUACUCUGUCUUUUUUGCUGCGCAUUCUGCUCUUUCUUUUCCUCAUGUUGUUCUUUGAGCUGCAGUUUUUCAUUUCCUAUUACCUGUACCGCAAUAGAAAUGUUAACUAACAACAGUAGAUGUAUACAAAGUGCCUGUCAUGGGUGGUUUUCACAUUUUUCUGCAGGUUUAUCAUGUAAUCUAACAUGUGAGUAGCUUAGUGUCUGCUUGAGUGUUCAGUGUGAGGUGUCAAACAUUCAUCUAAGAUAAGGUAGUUCUGCACCUGAGAGGUUUGUAUUUAUUUUCCAUCAAUAUACAUAAAGCAUUAUUAUAUGAAACAGAUACACGAAUCUCUACUUUAAUGAUCUAACCUGCAGAAUAUCAAGGGCAGCUGACUUCAGCGCAUUUGUGGAGUCUCCUCACAGAAUCCUGUUUCCAGUGUCUUUCUAAAUACUGAGUUCAAACUGAACCAGUAGCCAUAGCUACAUAAUUACAACAAUCGCAUAUGGAAUCUGUAGAUCAAAUCCUAUUCCUGAUGAAAUUUGUUACAUAAAGUGCUUUUAGCAUGACUCAGAUACCCACAUCAUCCUACAGAUAAUCAUAUGUGCAUUCAUGUAUGUGCACAAUUAGCCACGUGCAUAAACUUUGACAAGAUUAGAGCCACUGUCACAAAUAUUGUGCUCAUGAUUAUUUUCUUAUCAAUCCUUUCAUUGUUUUUUGCAUCAGUUGGUAAUUUCUUGCUAAUAAUUCAUGCACUUCGUUGGAAUUGACUUCCUUUCUAGAGAGAUCAGUGACAUGCAUUAACAUAAUUCUGCGUUGAGGUAUAUUGCUAUUAAUAUUGCCAGCUCAUAUUUAAACAAGGUUUUGGAGUAAAAUAUAACUGUUUCCUCAGUAUAUUUUAGUUUGGUGUGAUUUGGGCCGAUAACAGGUAAGAAAGACCAGUUCAAGGAGAAGGAAAUACAGAUGGUCUGGAUUUUACUGCAGGUGUCAGACACAUUCCCUUUUGCAGAUGAGCUACAUUUACUUAAGUAUUAGCCACAGCUUGAAAAUGUGUGGAACAAAGAUUAGGAGGAAUCAUGGACUGUGCUCAGUGUGGUAAAGUAAACAAUUAAUUCAGCAACAAUGAAAUUAGAUACACCCCAAAAUACUCUUUGUAUUGCCUGCUCACAAGAAGCUAUAGGUAGGGCAAAGAGAAGUGACAGUUAAGGGUUAAAUUAUGAAAUUUUGCAAUUUAUUUCUUAUCAUUUAUGAGAUUGUUAAAUGUCAGAAAGUGGAUUUUUUUUUUUUUACUAUCAGUAUAAAACUGAACAUACUGUGAGACAUAAGGUAGCAGGUGUCUUGGCUCUAAACUAUCAAGUCUGUGGGCAUUCUGUUAUAACAGGUGCUCCAAAAAUUUGAACAGAUUUUAACAAGAGCUGUAUGGGCUUUUUAAUUAGCCUGGUUACUCAGCAUGUGGAGAAAGCACUAGGUAUGUGCUUAAAACAUCAUUGUGUCUUGCAAACAAAUGUUUCACAUACUUACAGUCAUUCUUCUUGGUUAUCUUAGAAUUCCUUUCUAUUUGAUGCUAGGGUUUGACCCUUCUAUUCAUUUCUCUUAUCUAUUCUACCUGAAAAGAAUCAUCAUACUAAAAAAAAUAGUUGCAUGUUGUAGAAUCUCCUCUUGGGUAGACAGCAUUUAAUAAUUUGGAUUUACCUGAUAUUUAGCUGUCAUUUUACUUGGCAUCAUAAAACUACAACAAGCCGUGCACCACAGAAAUUCUCUGCUCAGAGUACAAAGUGUCUUUUCUUCACAUUCAGUUAUAUUUUUUUCCACUAUUGUAUAUCAUCAGAUUUUUGUCUAUUAAAGAUGAAGCAAUAAACUAAAUAAAAAAUCAUUAAAAUAAUAAUGUUUUAAUGCUAUAGAAAUUAAUGUAAGUUUAGGACUAUCUUGCAUGAUAUGAAA
Molecule: long non-coding RNA, 4290 nt
Organism: Lagopus muta (rock ptarmigan)
Lineage: Eukaryota; Metazoa; Chordata; Aves; Galliformes; Phasianidae
Exons: 4
Source: RefSeq, a predicted model, not a curated record